RNAcentral lists this ribosomal RNA (460 nucleotides) under uncultured bacterium. RNAcentral's name for it is "partial 16S ribosomal RNA". It matches the Rfam family "Bacterial small subunit ribosomal RNA", at positions 338 to 795 of the family's 1533-position model. The record is from RNAcentral.
CCUACGGGAGGCAGCAGUGAGGAAUAUUGGUCAAUGGCCGGAAGGCUGAACCAGCCAUGCCGCGUGAAGGUCAGUGCCCUAUGGGCGUUAAACUUCUUUUGUGCGGGAGCAAUAAUGGUCACGUGUGGCCAGACGAGAGUACCGUACGAAUAAGCAUCGGCUAACUCCGUGCCAGCAGCCGCGGUCAUACGGGGGAUGCAAGCGUUAUCCGGAUGUAUUGGGGUUAAAGGGUGCGUAGGCUGUGAGGUAAGUCAGCGGUGAAAUGCCCCCGCUCAACGGGGUGAAGUGCCAUUGAUACUGCCUUGCUGGAAUGCGGAUGCCGUGGGAGGAAUGUGUGGUGUAGCGGUGAAAUGCAUAGAUAUCACACAGAACACCGAUUGCGAAGGCAUCUCACGAAGCCGCGAUUGACGCUGAUGCACGAAAGCGUGGGUAUCAAACAGGAUUAGAUACCCGAGUAGUC